GAGGAAGGUGGGGAUGACGUCAAGUCAUCAUGGCCCUUACGACCAGGGCUACACACGUGCUACAAUGGCGCAUACAAAGAGAAGCGACCUCGCGAGAGCAAGCGGACCUCAUAAAGUGCGUCGUAGUCCGGAUUGGAGUCUGCAACUCGACUCCAUGAAGUCGGAAUCGCUAGUAAUCGUGGAUCAGAAUGCCACGGUGAAUACGUUCCCGGGCCUUGUACACACCGCCCGUCACACCAUGGGAGUGGGUUGCAAAAGAAGUAGGUAGCUUAACCUUCGGGAGGGCGCUUACCACUUUGUGAUUCAUGACUGGGGUGAAGUCGUAACAAGGUAACCGUAGGGGAACCUGCGGUUGGAUCACCUCCUU
RNAcentral lists this ribosomal RNA (367 nucleotides) under Escherichia coli. RNAcentral describes it as "bacterial SSU rRNA". It matches the Rfam family "Bacterial small subunit ribosomal RNA", at positions 1166 to 1532 of the family's 1533-position model. Lineage: Bacteria; Pseudomonadati; Pseudomonadota; Gammaproteobacteria; Enterobacterales; Enterobacteriaceae. The record is from RNAcentral.